GAUGAACGCUAGCUACAGGCUUAACACAUGCAAGUCGAGGGGCAGCAUGGUCUUAGCUUGCUAAGACUGAUGGCGACCGGCGCACGGGUGAGUAACACGUAUCCAACCUGCCGUCUACUCUUGGACAGCCUUCUGAAAGGAAGAUUAAUACAAGAUGGCAUCAUGAGUCCGCAUGUUCACAUGAUUAAAGGUAUUCCGGUAGACGAUGGGGAUGCGUUCCAUUAGAUAGUAGGCGGGGUAACGGCCCACCUAGUCUUCGAUGGAUAGGGGUUCUGAGAGGAAGGUCCCCCACAUUGGAACUGAGACACGGUCCAAACUCCUACGGGAGGCAGCAGUGAGGAAUAUUGGUCAAUGGGCGAGAGCCUGAACCAGCCAAGUAGCGUGAAGGAUGACUGCCCUAUGGGUUGUAAACUUCUUUUAUAAAGGAAUAAAGUCGGGUAUGGAUACCCGUUUGCAUGUACUUUAUGAAUAAGGAUCGGCUAACUCCGUGCCAGCAGCCGCGGUAAUACGGAGGAUCCGAGCGUUAUCCGGAUUUAUUGGGUUUAAAGGGAGCGUAGAUGGAUGUUUAAGUCAGUUGUGAAAGUUUGCGGCUCAACCGUAAAAUUGCAGUUGAUACUGGAUAUCUUGAGUGCAGUUGAGGCAGGCGGAAUUCGUGGUGUAGCGGUGAAAUGCUUAGAUAUCACGAAGAACUCCGAUUGCGAAGGCAGCCUGCUAAGCUGCAACUGACAUUGAGGCUCGA
Molecule: ribosomal RNA, 739 nt
Filed under: uncultured Bacteroidales bacterium
Lineage: Bacteria; Pseudomonadati; Bacteroidota; Bacteroidia; Bacteroidales
Description: bacterial SSU rRNA
Rfam family: Bacterial small subunit ribosomal RNA
Source: RNAcentral